RNAcentral lists this long non-coding RNA (461 nucleotides) under Cricetulus griseus (Chinese hamster). Its description in RNAcentral is "lncRNA (ENSCGRG00015041144.1)". The record is from RNAcentral. Lineage: Eukaryota; Metazoa; Chordata; Mammalia; Rodentia; Cricetidae.
CAUUGUGUUUCUCUCCACAAACAAGAAAAUGCCUCUGCCUAGUUUUUUUCUAGCUCUGGGGCAAGUAUGUUCUACACUGUAUAUUUACAGGUGACACAAUUGAUUUGAGUGACAGCCAGAGGAGAAAGGUGUUCUGCAAGUCUUUCAGGCAUGGUAGAAUGGCCCUGACACUUGGGCCAUGCAUCCUGCAGAUCCUGCAGUAUGAGAGAACAAAAGCAAAAUAAACUUUCCAGGACAAAAUUAAUGGAUUUUUUUCACCACCCCCGCCCCCAGAGGCAGGAAGAAAAACAAACUCCAGAGGCUCGGGUGAAAAUGACAUCCUCUCAGUCAAACAGAUACUGAAGUAAUGCGCUCCUCAAAACUUGGGCCCAGAUGUGUCCACCACCACACACAUGAGAGCUCGGAAGCCAACUUUUGGAUACCAUGAAAAGGAAUCAGAAGGUCCUUUAAAGAUGCCAUUG